RNAcentral lists this small RNA (28 nucleotides) under Bombyx mori (domestic silkworm). RNAcentral's name for it is "ovarian small RNA-15760". The record is from RNAcentral. Lineage: Eukaryota; Metazoa; Arthropoda; Insecta; Lepidoptera; Bombycidae.
GAGCAUCGAUGCCACGAUACUCGGCAAC